RNAcentral lists this transfer RNA (68 nucleotides) under Ictidomys tridecemlineatus (thirteen-lined ground squirrel). RNAcentral's name for it is "Spermophilus tridecemlineatus (thirteen-lined ground squirrel) tRNA". It matches the Rfam family "tRNA". From Rfam's summary of the family: Transfer RNA (tRNA) molecules are approximately 80 nucleotides in length. Their secondary structure includes four short double-helical elements and three loops (D, anti-codon, and T loops). Lineage: Eukaryota; Metazoa; Chordata; Mammalia; Rodentia; Sciuridae. The record is from Rfam by way of RNAcentral.
GGUGCUGUAGCUCAGUGGUAGAGCAUUUACCUAGCACAAUGAGGAACUGGAUUUGAUCCUCAGCACCA